This is a small nucleolar RNA of Notamacropus eugenii (tammar wallaby), 125 nucleotides long. The record is from Ensembl. Lineage: Eukaryota; Metazoa; Chordata; Mammalia; Diprotodontia; Macropodidae.
UGCCCAAUGAUGAAACUCAUCCUUGCACGCCUGAGGUCCUGCCCUGAUAGUGGUUUGGUGAAAUGGGCGACACUAUGGGUCCCCUAGGCAGGCCGGGUUUGGCCUUGGCCUGGGGGCUGAGGGCA